Molecule: ribosomal RNA, 402 nt
Filed under: uncultured bacterium
Lineage: Bacteria
Description: bacterial SSU rRNA
Rfam family: Bacterial small subunit ribosomal RNA
Source: RNAcentral
ACUCCUACGGGAGGCAGCAGUAGGGAAUAUUGGUCAAUGGGCGCAAGCCUGAACCAGCCAUGCCGCGUGCAGGAAGACUGCCUUAUGGGUUGUAAACUGCUUUUAUAUGGGAAAGAAACCCCUCUACGUGUAGAGGCUUGGACGGUACCAUAAGAAUAAGCACCGGCUAACUCCGUGCCAGCAGCCGCGGUAAUACGGAGGGUGCGAGCGUUAAUCGGAAUUACUGGGCGUAAAGCGCAUGCAGGUGGUUUGUUAAGUCAGAUGUGAAAGCCCGGGGCUUAACCUCGGAAUUGCAUUUGAAACUGGCAGGCUAGAGUCUUGUAGAGGGGGGUGAGAAUUUCAGGUGUAGCGGUGAAAUGCGUAGAGAUCUGAAGGAAUACCAGUGGCGAAGGCGGCCCCCUC